GGGGGUGUAAUGGUUUCGACGGGGGAAGAAUAAACACAAUAAGCGAGCCGGGAUCCCACAGGCCCGUUAAACAGUGGAACUUAAAUUAAACGCUAAAAACGAUUUAGCUUACGCAGCUUAAUUGCUGCUCACCUCUCUGCUUCUGUGCUCUGUGUGAGGCAGAUGAGGUCAUUUAACAGAGCUGGCUGACCCCCAAUUCUCGGAGGGGUGACGCGAGAUUUAUCGAGAUAGUGAGCCGGUAGCCUGUCGGUAGGCGAUUGGUGAGCGAAAUUUAAAAUACUCGACUACGCUCGUAGAAGGUUGUGUGGGUUCUCUUUCGGACGCGGGUUCGACACCCGCCACCUCCACCA
This 350-nucleotide transfer-messenger RNA is filed under the name Thermincola sp. It matches the Rfam family "transfer-messenger RNA". From Rfam's summary of the family: Bacterial tmRNA, also known as 10Sa RNA or SsrA, is named for its dual tRNA and mRNA-like properties. Its role is to liberate the mRNA from a stalled ribosome. Lineage: Bacteria; Bacillati; Bacillota; Clostridia; Eubacteriales; Thermincolaceae. The record is from RNAcentral.